This 723-nucleotide ribosomal RNA is filed under the name uncultured bacterium. Its description in RNAcentral is "bacterial SSU rRNA". It matches the Rfam family "Bacterial small subunit ribosomal RNA", at positions 153 to 878 of the family's 1533-position model. The record is from RNAcentral.
GAAAGGGGNNUUAACCCUCCAUAGUAAUAUUGAAUGGCAUCAUUUGAUAUUUAAAGCUCCGGUGGCUAUGGAUGGGCAUGCGUCUGAUUAGUUAGUUGGCGGGGUAACGGCCCACCAAGACGAUGAUCAGUAGGGGAACUGAGAGGUUGAUCCCCCACACUGGCACUGAGAUACGGGCCAGACACCUACGGGAGGCAGCAGUAGGGAAUAUUGGUCAAUGGAUGGAAGUCUGAGCCAGCCAUGCCGCGUGCAGGAAGAAGGCCUUAUGGGUUGUAAACUGCUUUUGCCAGGGGAUAAAAUAGCUGUGCGCAGCGAAUUGCAGGUACCUGGUGAAUAAGCCACGGCUAACUACGUGCCAGCAGCCGCGGUAAUACGUAGGUGGCAAGCGUUGUCCGGAUUUAUUGGGUUUAAAGGGUGCGUAGGCGGCCCUGUAAGUCAGUGGUGAAAUACUCCAGCUUAACUGGAGGGGUGCCAUUGAUACUGCAGGGCUUGAGUGGAGUAGAAGUAGGCGGAAUUGACGGUGUAGCGGUGAAAUGCUUAGAUAUCGUCAAGAACACCGAUAGUGAAGACAGCUUACUAUGCUUCAACUGACGCUGAGGCACGAAAGUGUGGGGAUCAAACAGGAUUAGAUACCCUGGUAGUCCACACUGUAAACGUUGAUGACUCGCUGUUGGCGAUACACUGCCAGCGGCCAAGCGCAAGCGAUAAGUCAUCCACCUGGGG